Molecule: ribosomal RNA, 253 nt
Filed under: uncultured bacterium
Lineage: Bacteria
Description: partial 16S ribosomal RNA
Rfam family: Bacterial small subunit ribosomal RNA
Source: RNAcentral
UACGGAGGGUGCAAGCGUUAUCCGGAUUCACUGGGUUUAAAGGGUGCGUAGGCGGGAUAUUAAGUCAGUGGUGAAAGCCCCAGGCUCAACUUGGGAACUGCCAUUGAUACUGAUAUUCUUGAAUUCGUUUGAGGCAGGCGGAAUGUUGCAUGUAGCGGUGAAAUGCUUAGAUAUGUUACAGAACACCAAUUGUGAAGACAGCUUGCUAAGACGAUAUUGACGCUGAGGCACGAAAGCGUGGGGAGCAAACAGG